AUGGACACCACAGGCCUCAGCUGUCACCUUCCCUACAACACUGAGCAGUAUUGUAGGGAAGGAAAUUUGUGUCCCUGUGUCUGUGCACAGCUAUGCCCAAGCUCUGAAAUGGAAGCAGAAGUCCUGCCUUCCCCGUGGCUCCCAGGACAGCAACUGCCCCAGCAUGAAGGGCUCUUCGACACAACCAGGGCUUCUGUGAGGCCCACCUGGUUUGCAGAAGGCUUCAGAGAAGUGGAAGUGUCACAGAUCAUGGAGACCUCUGCUGUAACCAGUCGUGUGGGGAGCCGUUCCUUUCCCACUCCAACUGCUGGCUCUUCAGGCAAGGCAUUGUGGGCUAUUAGGAAGACUCAGACUUUGAUAUGAGAAGCCAAUUUAUGAAUUUGUAGCUCACUCAGGGUGGUCUCCACCAUCCUCUUUGUGGUAGUCUGGUCAAUAUAGUUUUAUUCUUGUCACCUACAGAUACUGUCUAAAUUUUCUACAUGUGUAUGGCUUCUGUAACAGAAAAACAAAUCAAUUAAAGAUGUAUUUCAAAACCCACCCGACCCAGUCUACUAACUGGAAUCUGUUUUCAGGACACAACCUCUCUAAGCCAGUUGUAGUUGAGCACUGGACUGUUAUCUGGCUAGACACCACAGCUGAGGAAGCCUUGUGACUAAGAGUUUGCUACUGAGAUGUGAACAGAAGUUUCCCCUUACUAUUCAGCAUGUGACCCUAUACCUUCCAGUUAGAAUGGGAAUGUGAUCCUGGCAUUUCCUAGACCAACAAAAACAGAUGCUUCACCUUAUUACUGGCUAUCAUAGAAACACACAUUAAAGUGAAAUUUCACUUUUCAUCUGUCAUGUUAAAAGAGGGAAAAGUAGUACUCUCAUGUGCUACUGGUGGAAGUGCUACCUUGGAGGACAAUUUGGCAGUGUCUACUAAAAUGAAAGAUAAAGCCAGCCAUAGAGGUGCACACUAUACCCCUAGUAAUGGGACACAGAGGCAGGAUGAUUAUAAAAUCAAAAUCAAGUUCAGCCUGGGCAAUUUAAUGAGACUCUGUCUCAAAAUAAAAAUAAAAGGGUUGUAGCUCAGUGUCAAGGCCCUGGGUAAUACCCAGUACCACAAAACAAAAUAACCUUGAAAAGGGAUAACUGUGAUUACUGAAUAUACAUUAAAGAAAAAGAAGAAAAAUGAGCACUGACAAGCUAAUGUGUCUUAGGUUCUUCUCAGAAAUCAGCUUGUGGCCAGGUGUGAUGGUACACACCUAUAAUCCCAGUACUUGGGAGGCUGAGGCAGGAGGACUACCAAAAGUCUGAGACCAGCCUGGGAUAUACAGUGAGUUCAAGGCCAGCAUGAAAUAUAAAGGAAGACUUUGUCUCAAAAAAAAAUUAAUUGUAAGUUACCAGUUCAUCAUGUGUUCAAUUGAGCCAACAGAUUUUCACCUCAGCUCCAAGAAAGGAAAUAAACUUCUAUUCCAUGUUUGCCUGAAGUUCAAAUGCCAGUGUCAGUUACAGCAAAGUCAGCCACUAGUUCCCUGAUUCUGACUUAAACUUCCAAGUGGCAUGUUAAGAUAAUAAAAAAAAAGUAGCACAUCAUCUUUU
This is a long non-coding RNA of Fukomys damarensis (Damara mole-rat), 1580 nucleotides long. NCBI's taxonomy places the organism in Eukaryota, Metazoa, Chordata, Mammalia, Rodentia, Bathyergidae. The record is from Ensembl.